Molecule: ribosomal RNA, 235 nt
Filed under: uncultured bacterium
Lineage: Bacteria
Description: partial 16S ribosomal RNA
Rfam family: Bacterial small subunit ribosomal RNA
Source: RNAcentral
CGCACGGGUGAGUAACACGUAUCCAACCUGCCGUCUACUCUUGGACAGCCUUCUGAAAGGAAGAUUAAUACAAGAUGGCAUCAUGAGUCCACAUGUUCACAUGAUUAAAGGUAUUCCGGUAGACGAUGGGGAUGCGUUCCAUUAGAUAGUAGGCGGGGUAACGGCCCACCUAGUCUUUGAUGGAUAGGGGUUCUGAGAGGAAGGUCCCCCACAUUGGAACUGAGACACGGUCCAA